This 253-nucleotide ribosomal RNA is filed under the name uncultured bacterium. Its description in RNAcentral is "partial 16S ribosomal RNA". It matches the Rfam family "Bacterial small subunit ribosomal RNA", at positions 524 to 776 of the family's 1533-position model. The record is from RNAcentral.
UACGAGGGGUGCUAGCGUUAUUCGGAAUAACUGGGCGUAAAGGGUGCGUAGACGGCAUAUUAAGCUCGUUGUUAAAUUCCCCGGCCUAACUGGGGACCCGCAAUGAGAACUGGUGUGCUAGAGGGUGAGAGAGAGAAGUGGAAUUUCCGGAGUAGCGGUAAAAUGCGUAGAUCUCGGAAGGAACACCAAUGGCGAAGGCAGCUUCUUGGCUCAUACCUGACGUUGAGGCACGAAAGCGUGGGGAGCAAACAGG